This 322-nucleotide ribosomal RNA is filed under the name uncultured eukaryote. Its description in RNAcentral is "partial 18S ribosomal RNA". It matches the Rfam family "Eukaryotic small subunit ribosomal RNA", at positions 1470 to 1796 of the family's 1831-position model. The record is from RNAcentral.
CCCUUAGAUGUUCUGGGCCGCACGCGUGCUACACUGAGUGGAUCAGCGGGUCAGGUUGCGCGAAACCGUUUCCUAAUCUUUAAAUCCGCUCGUGAUGGGGAUUGACGGUUGCAAUUUUCUGUCAUGAACGAGGAAUACCUUGUAAGCGCGGGUCAUCAUCCCGCGCUGAAUACGUCCCUGCCCUUUGUACACACCGCCCGUCGCUCCUACCGAUUGAGUGGUCCGGUGAGGCUUUGGGAUCUGAGCGGAAAGAGCGUUUCGCUGUUUCUGCUCGGAAAACUCAGUCGAACCUUAUCAUUUAGAGGAAGGAGAAGUCGUAACA